UUUUAAUUUCCUCCUUCUAAUAUCCAAAUUAAAACAUGAUAAAUUUUGUUUAGCUCCAAGAGCCUGUGUAUCAAUAAUCAAUUUCAUUGCCACGUUAAUUGCAAAAGACAACAGUACUAACAAAUUUACAACAAGAUACUUAAAAAAUCUACUUCGUGAGACUCUCUAUACAUCUAGAAAUACUAGAUGUUCAAAAUUAAAUAUUUCAUUUGCUGAUUAUUUACUAAAUUGUCUUGGUUAUUGUCAUGCCACAAAUGAACACAGAACCAUAUAAUUUAAAGAUUCUAUAGUAUAUGCUUAAGAAUGAAUUGCAUCAUGAACCUCAGUACAUCAAAGAAAAUAAGAUAUACCUUUUUUUUUUUUUUUGAGAGGGAGUCUCACUCUGUCGCCCAGGCUGGAGUGCAGUGGCGCGAUCUUGGCUCACUGCAACUUCUGCCUCCUGGGUUCAAGCUAUUCUUCUGCCUCAGACUGCCGAGUAGCUGGGAUUACAGAUGUGCACUACCACGCCCGGCUAGUUUUUGUAUUUUUAGUAGAGACGGGGUUUCACCAUAUUGGCCAGGCUGGUUUCGAACUCCUGACCUCGUGAUCUGCCCCCUUCGGCCUCCCAAAGUGCUGGGAUUACAGGCAUGAGCCUCCGCACCCGGCCAAGAUAUACCAUUCAAUAUAGAGAUUAUUCUUACAUGAAACUGACCCAAACAAUUUAAUAAAAAUUAAUUUUUACUUUUAAAUCAAAAUGUGGGGGAGGGAACCACUGUCCCUCUCUAACAUGACAGCAUAUAUACAUUUAAUAUAUAAGCUUAAAUAUGUGCAAGUAAUUUGUCUUUUACAAUCCCAGCAACACAAUGAAGACUAAGCAAAGGGGAAAGAACAAUCUAUCAACAAAAGAAAAAUGUCUCUAUCCUCUUUAUCAACAAACUACAUAUUUACAAAGUUGAAAUGUUAUAGAACAACUAUGAUAAACACAGAUAUUUAAUAGUAAACCCAAGAAAGCCACCCACACAGAGCUCUUAAAAUCAUUUGCAGGGUUAAGCACAGUUUAACAAAGUGAUGCUUGCAAUAUAUGCACGUCCACACUGUCUAUAAAACAAAAAAAAAGCUAAAGAGGAUUGUACAGUUGUCUAGUGGUAUCCAUCGGGGAUUUGUACCUGUACCGUACCCCUAUACCAAAAUCAGUGCAUCCUCAACUCCCUUAGCUCUUCAGAACCCAUGGUUAUGAAAAUGAGGUGUUCUUUACUCGGGUUUCAGAUUCUGCCAAUGCUGUACUUUCCAGCUGCAUGUGCUUGCAGAUGCAAAACCCGCAGAUAGGAGGGUUGACAUGACAACUAUACAUCACAGAGAUGAAAUGACAAAGUAUUCAACAUCCUUCUCCACGUGCUUCCCAACAAACAAGUGAAUCAAGAAGCUAAUGCCUAUAUUAAUAAAAAUACUCUGAUUUUUACAUACAUAUGUAUCAGCAAUGUCUACAUAUUAAUAUAUAAGGAAUAGGUAUUUUAAAGAUAUAACCUGACUGUACACACAGCAAUCUAAAAAUCCCACUCUACCACACAGGUUUGGUAUGCCAUUUCACUUCAACAAACAUAAAAAGCUUCUGCCCUAUAGUUUUAAGUAAAAUAUAUCCACCAAAUACAACAAAUUUCUGCACAUCUGUAAAGGUAGAUGACAUAUUAUACAUGGACACAACUAACAAUCAAAUAAACCUCUACAUACACACCAAAUUUUUUUUAAAAAUAAAGGUUAACACUUCUAUUGGCAAAAGAUUGUUUUCACCAUAUUUUAACAUUCAUAUAUUCUGUAUGUUCAUAUAUGUGCAUGGUGGGUGUUUCUACAUACCUAGGAAAUUCCGAUGUUAUUCAAGACGCUUAUCUAUGAUUCAUACAGCAGUUAAAUGGUCUCCAGCUCUAUCCAGGCACCCAACAGCCCAAUAAACACAGGAAGGGACAAGCCACCAAUUAGGUUGGAAUAAGAAAAAAUAAUACAAAAAUGUACAUUUUUAUAUAAAAAUUGUUUAGACAAAGACAAUCUCAUUUUUUAGAACUCCAGAACCCAAAACAAAACCAAGAAAACCCUCAAAAUCAAACCUCACAAGCACACAAAGAUGCUAACUCUAUUGGCAACAAUGAUUCUACUUUUGAAUAAAAAUAUAUUUCCAAAAAUAUGACAGAAAUUGCAUAUUAAAAAAUAUUGUUGUAAUAUUUAUCUUCUAGAUACAAUUAUAUAUUCUGCAUCAACCAAAUAAAUCCCAUUUAAACAUGGCAUAGCAAUUCUACUGAUCAAACUAAAGUGUUUAUGCCCUUGUCUAGUGGUUUACUGGUCACAAUAUACGCCUAUUAGUAAUCUGUAUGCAGAUGCUAAAAAGCAAAAGGUAACAUUUUUCUACUAUACAUUUAGCAGCCAUACAGUAUCUCUGGCAACUUAAGAAUAUUUCUAUCCUAUGACAAUAAAUGUUGUUUAUACAGUGAUAUGUAUUUAUAUAUAAACCUGCAUACACACAAAUAUACGUGUUGGCAAUUCCUACAAAUCAAAGACUAAACAAUUAAAGCAAAACAAUUAUAUAUUGUGACUGUCUUAUACACAUGUAACAAAAUUCCCCUUCAGCUGCUCAUUUACACACAUAAAUAAUCUGCCUAUGUGAGGGAGGGAACAAAAGCUUUCACUACAUAUGUAUGUAUUUAUCUAUCUAUCUAUAUAGAUAGAUAUAUAGAUAUGUGUUUACGUGUGUGUAUAUAUAUUUAGAACCAUGCAGACAUAAUAGCUCCUAUGCUUUAAAAAACAUAUAACCAUGUAUAUUGUAUACACGUAAGGGUUCCAUUAUCACCCAAUGAUCUAAUGAACUCAGGUUUCACAUCCCAUUGCUAGUAUCCCCAUAAAAACUUAUAAAAUGCCUCUACAGAUAGAAACAUUUUAAAUCAAAAACAACUCACUAUUAUGAAAGUCACAUUUUUUUGGCAAAUGAGAACUUUUCUAACCUAUGCUAUUUGACUCGUGGCAAUUUUUCUGUUGUAUAAAAAACUGCAUAUACACAUCUGAAAACUAUAAACAAAGGCAGACCGACAUUUAUGAUGACAUUUCCACCAUGUUGCAUCUGUCAGAAAAACAGUCACAUAUAUAUUUAUAGAGAUAUAUAGUAUUAUACUACAAAUUGUAAGAACAUUUCUAUUAUAUCUACCACAACCUAAAAAUUGAGCCCAAUGAUCCAGUGAGCAGUUUGCUUUUUGCAAGCAAAACUGGUUCUAUCCCCUAUGAAUUAAAAAUGACAUCUAUACAUUUAGAAAAAUAGAUGUUAAAAAUAUUUAGCAUAUCCACCAGCAAUCAAUUAAUGUUUAGGGGCAAUUUAAUGAAUUAAUGUUCUGAGAGGUGAUUUAACACUCCCACUAGCAAAAGGAAAGUAGUCUACCUGUUUACAAUGUAAUGUUAACAUAUAUGUAAGACCACCACCACCAUCUUCACGUGGAUUUAAGUCUGGAGGCCCUGCAACAUAUGCUCAUAUGCACACAGGGCUCCAACACCCCACCCUCUUAUCUCCUAAAUCCACAUCUAAUAUUUGCCUAAUACUAACAAAGCCAUCUAAGAGUCUAGACACUCCUAUCAGUAACCAAUGACAUCACUGUGUAACAAUUUAAUGUCCCCCAAAAUGCAAAAUGUCAGCCAUUUCUAUACUGGUUAAGAUUCAGUAACACAAUCCUGUCAGUUAUAUACACAAAGUAAUACAAAUCCCACCCAACCCUUAACAUGUAAGUGUUCUAGAGGCUGGCCUUUUUGGCAAUUCCAUCAUGAAAAGAAAAUCUUACACCACGUAAAUUUUAACAGAAAGACCACUGACAAAAUAACAUCCACAUCCAUGACUUUCAUACAUAAAGCAGCAUUAAUAAAACUUCUUAGUUAGAAGUUGUAUACAUUAAGUUCCCCCAGAAAAACAUCCAUAGCAAUAAACCAAAAUAAAAGGAUUUUUAAUAUACAUCACUCAGAGGUACUUUAACAAUUAUAUUUCUAAAAUCAUUUCUUAAAAUGUUUCUACAUACUUCAGCAAACUAAUUGUUAGCAAUAUCUAUGUACCAAGAAAAUGUCAUAAAACAAUUAUUUAGAAACUUCAAACACUGUAUCCUCAAAUGCACAUAAACAAAAUGCCUUUUUUUCUAAUUAACGCUUCCCAUGUCAUUUUCUAUUACCCUUAUGCACUCAAAAAGUGAAUACAGAAUUGUGUAUAUCUUUAAAAGGUGACCUGAGAAUUCCUUUCUAACAACUGUUCCAGAAUAAAAUUCUAGCAAAUAGAAGCUUCCCUAGGAAACCACUUAUUUAGCCACAGCAACUACAUUAACAAGCUUAACAGAUUCAUGUUCAAAAUCUAAGUGUUUGCUUUUAACUAAUUACAUUCCAAGAUUAUGCAAAAAAAUACAACUAUUACACAUUUAAUUUCACUGUCUGGCUUACCUAAGGCACAAUGAACAAUUCAUACACAUUUAUCAUUCAAUGUGUAUCUCAUAUUCUCAUUUCAAUACUAUUAUCUAAACAUAAUUUUCCCACAUAUUUAAACAAACUCGUAAGCUAAAUGUCCACGAAAAAAAGUUUAUAUUAUUUGAAUAUUUGGAGCUCUUUCACAAUGCUAGCAGGAGUUGGGGAAUGAUGUCCUUAUUGCAUGUGCACACAAGUAUAUCAUGUGCAGGGCUUUUACUGGUAAAUCUUCCAAAGGCGAGUGGACUCUCCACAGCAAGAAAAAAAAUUAUUAUUGGUUGAUGAAGUUCAGGCAAGUAUCAAUCUAUCUUUCUUUCUUCCAAGGUUUUCUAGCUGAUGAGGCAUGUAGCUGAAUUCAACAAAUGUUAUCCUUCCCCUUCUAUCCAUAUAUUCCUGCAGGGUUGGCUUGUCAACUUGAGUUUGUACAGACUACCCAAAAUAUUUCAAGUUUUAUAUAUUUGAAAUGUUUCUCAAUUCAGUAGAUAAUUCUUUAUGCACCUGCCACGCUGUGACUCAGACGGCAUUUUGGGGAUGAAUCCGGAUUGAGAGUUGCUGUUCUGAUGCUGUAAGGAGCACACAAAUAGAGUAGAUCUGGACUAUGGCUCUACAGAGGACCCUGGCCAAAGACCCUUUAAGGCAGACAUCUCCAAGGGGGUUUAGACUUCCACCGCAGUCUAGAAAUAAAAAUGCUCCAGAAGAAUCUGUAAACUACAAUUUUCUCCAUGCUGGGGUGGUCACUCAGACCACUCACUCCUGUUGAUGUAUUUCAGUGAAAAAAUGGUUCAUAAAUCUACCCUAAAUCAUAUGUUGCAAUCAGUGUUUCUUGCUGCAAAAAUUUCUGAAAAUUUUUAAGGAUGAGAGGAUUAGAGUGAGGGAAUGCCACAAAAUAUACAAAUCCAAAUGUUUGGUGUCCACAAGUGGGUGGUUUCCAGUGUUUAUUGUGGCAAAAGAUGUUCUAAAUAUUAUAAACAUAUGCAAUCGUUGUCCUCUUCCUUGAUUAUUGCUCAUUUCUAAAACUCUUGAAACAUGACAACUGCUUAUUUAUUAAGAAAACCUGACAAGGUUUGUCUUGUUUUCCCCAAAUCAGCUCUGCCAGAUAGAUGAAUUAAAGAACCUGAGGUUAGCAGCAAGGGGAACAGUUGAAAGUAUGUGAAUACAGUUAAGAUGACAAAGCCCUCACAUGGAAGAGUAACUUCAAAUCAGUUAUCUAAUGGGGUGAACAGUAUCUUUUGUACAGUAAGUUUCUAAAGGAAAUAAUCCUGGUCCAUCUUUUUUAAGCUGCAAUUUAGCCCAUGAAUGAAAGCUGUUUCCUUGCUCCUUAGCUGGCAUCUCCUUUAUACGUCUCUUCAGAAUUGACAGUCGAAUGUAUCACAGUGAUUUUAAAAAGAUGUUUCUGAAUGUAAAUGAGUUUGAAAUAUUUCACAAAUUUACUUUCUGCUUAUUUUCUUGUUCAAUUAUCUGUUCAUGAUUUGUCCAUUUUCAGAACAAUUUUUCAAGCCUUUUUAUUCACAGAGUUGUAGAUCAUAUUUAUGUACACUACAGGAAUCAACAGAGUAAAUAACCAAUAUAUUUUGCCAACCCAAAUAUAAUAGAUGCAUUUACAUUUAUUUUUAUGUUGUGAACUACUCUUAACACACCAACAAGUACACCCUCUUAUCCUCUCCAACAGCAAUGACCUCUUGAUUUCCAACAGGUUUGCUCAAAGGACAAGUUCACGUGAACACAUGCUUUUUUUUUUUAACCUGGAAUAUUUAUUCUCCAGUGAGCUAGCCUGAAGCAGGUGGAGGCAUCCAAUAAAAUACAACCUUAAGGAACUACCUUUUCUAUUUUUAACAAACCCCGAGUCAGAAAUCUGGCAAUAUCUUAGGAACCUCUCUACUUGAUGAAACAGACAACUUUAAUUUAAAGCAAGACAGUAUGUCCCAAUUCCCUACUCUCAGCUAUGUGGUACAAUGAAAUGCCCUUGUUCUUGACCUAAACCCUAACAAAGAAUGGAGGGAAAAAAAUCAGGGUGAAACUGACAGCCAUACUUUGCCUGUACUCUACUAGAGGGCAAAUUUGUUAUACUUUCUUCAUUCAUGUAUUGACUCUACCAAUGACUGUGGUAACAACAUACCAAUGAAGCAAAAAUUGGCUAUCCAUCAAACACAUACUAGAUGUUAAUUAUUACACUAGGCCUUGAAGACAAAGCAGUAAAAAGUAUAGUCAAGGCAUCUGAUAAACCAUUAAUGUUUCUUUCUCCCUAUAAGGGAAAAAUAUCAAAAAAGUCAGUCUAUUUAGCCUUUUGGAACCAUAUUUCCAAAUUCUGCUAUGUACUCAUCUGGGACAAAUGAAAAGCAUUAUUUCAGUAAGUCAAAGCUUUUAAAGAAGGUAUCAUCAUUGUGACUUAAAACAAUUUCUAAAGGAUGGAUUUUUUGGGUUUUGUUGCUACCUUGACAUCAUUGCCGAAGGCUGUAAUUCACUCAGUAGAUAAAACACCCAGUCUACCUAAAAUGUGAAGCCACGGUAUCCAGCCAUGCUCACUAGAGUUACACAUUAUACAAUUGACAUUAAAACAAAAAGUACAAUGUCCCAAAUUUGUUGCCACCCUCCAAAAUAAUUUCAAUAAUUCCUAGGCCAUAUAUAUUUUUAAAUCCUCUGUAAUUUCUUCUCAUUUUAUUCAGUCCAACCCAAAGAAGUCUGCUUGUUUGAAGUCUGGGUUUCUUGUUCAGUUGCUGUAUCACAGAGAAUGACUGAUUUGAUCUGAAUAUAUCCAUAUUCUUCACCACUUCCAAACCUGGAGGAGUCUCAACUGAAGUGGCUAAUUUUACAGUUUUUAAGUAAAAGAGAACAGUCUAUUCCCAAAGAGAAUCAUCAUUGGAAAACAGUACUAAAUUUCAAGAAACAACUAUAGCCACUGGAAUGCCAACCUGUAUGUUGAAAUUUCCCAAACCCAACAUAUGUAAAUCCACCAGAAGCAGAUGCUUAAAAUCAAACAAUAAAUAAAUAAAACAAGUUAUAAAGAGUUCAGUAAUUAACAUUAAACACAAACAGGAUUACCUUUCCUUCCUCCAAAAGGGUAGGUAUUAGGCAGAAAUUACCACACUAUAUUCAUUGAGAUCAUACCUGCUCUUAAAAUGUUAUUUUUUAAUCUACUGUUUUCAGGAAUUUUGUCUUCUUUUACCCGGGGGGGAUUUAUAUGGACUGAAUUUAGAAAUGGCUGAAUUUACUCAAAUUUAAUUUAAUUUAGAUUUAAAUGGGUAUAGUUGAUUCACUGCUAGGAAAAUUAUCAAAAAUAAGCUUGUUUCCUCAUAUCAUGUAGAUAAUUUAAAUUUAUAUUAGAAAUGUAUUAUUUUAAGUGAUAUAUGUCUGUAUUUCCAGGAAAUUAUGAAGUGUUUACGUCCUCCCAUGCAUUUGAACACACUGGCUACAAAUAGUCAUUCCUAUUAAUAAUAACCUUGCAAGAAAAAAAUAUAUGGUAUUCUACAAUGAUUUACAUUAUUACAUAAGACAACUUUCAAGAUUCCCUGGUCAUGAUCACAUUUUAAAAUAUGCGAUAACAUGAUGUAUCAUUGCUUUUUCCAUAUCAGUGUACAUUAAAAGACAUAUAAUAGCACUCUAAGUAUGGUUCCUAGAUCUGUAGCAUCUAGAAACUUGAUAAAAAUCAACUUCUCAUACUUAUACCUAAUAAGCAAGAAACACUAAGGUCAGGACCCAGUAAACUGUGUUUAAAAAGCCCUCAGGUGAUUCUUAUCCACACUAAAUUUAAACAAAUCACUGACUAACCAAGGCUAUCUAGAAAUACCAUCCUUUAUUCAUUCUAAUAAUUUAUCAAGAAAAGACAUUUAAUCAGCACACUUCGCUAAUUAAAACAAUCUCAGUAAAAGACAAUAUUACCUAUUUAUGGUCACCUCAAGAAAAGGUAUAGAAGCUAACAUGGGAAAGGUAGCUGACAUUCUUUAUCUGAAGUAAAACAGAAACUUACAUGUUAAAUGAUAAUUCUGACUCCUAACAUACACCACCUAUUGUUCCACAACUCAAACCAUGCAAGUUUUCCUUAUUUCCAACAAAUGAAACAAUCAUAACAUUACUCUCAAUUUACCUGUCUCCCUUCAUACAACUCAGGAACAUGUUCCAACCACAUUAAAAUUUGCUUAUUUGUUUUCCUCCUACUACUCAUUAAUGCAAUUUGCCAUCUUCUGCUAACUCAUUCCUUCCACUACUCUCAGCAAAUUACUUUGAUCAUGAAUUAGCAAGGCUGGACCUCACGCUCCCUUUGCAGGAAUGGAAAGUGUCAUCCAAUUCAAGAAAUAAUGAUUCUCAUCAUUAAGCCAACCCUCCUCCUACCACUCCACCAAAACACACACACACACACACACACACACACACACACACGUGCACACACACACAUACACGUGUCAUCUCUUCCAGAGAUUCUUAUUUUCAGGGGAUUUAUUUUAAGUCAUCUGUGAAGUAUCACCCCACAAAUGAGGUUGUUUGGAUGGGCUGGGCCAGCAACUACCACUGCAUUCUCUAAGUUGCACCAAACAUCUGAAGGUAAAACACCCCCUGUCAACACUACACCUCAACAUAUCUGGCACUAAUUCCCUAUUUUUCUCACUUAACUGCUUAUUUCUAAUCUAAUUCAGUUAGUAGGAAAGGAAAAACUCAUUUUUCUCAAUUCAUCCAACAUAUCGCUAACUGCCUGGAUCAAGAACACUAAGAGAAACAAACAAAUCUGAGAGGUUAUAAAUACACUAACAUUUCUACCAGAAGAACAGAGACUCAAAGGCAAGAACUAUAAAAUAACUUAUCUACCUCACUUUUAGAAGAAUGUUCAUUUCUCUGAACCCCAACAGCUUUUCACUAUAAACCAGUCAUUUGUCAUGUGAUCACAGUAUCAACACCCACAUCAUUAAUAUGUACAUAUGUACACGCAAACACAUAACACAUACAGAAUUUAUCAACUAAGAUAACAACUAGAGAAUAAGAUCUUGCUAUAUUCAAUGUUCAUGGUAUAUUUAAUACAGGCUUUUCUAAAUUACCUUCUUAUUCACCAUUCCUCCUUCAUAAUAACGACUUAUAGGCAAAGGAAAAGCACCUACUCAUAGAAUGUCAAUCACAGAUAAUGAAAGACCCAUCAAUCAUACAAGCAAAAAAUAGAGUAUAGAAUAAUGUGAGAUUAGAGAUGUGAUUCAAAAAUUGCAUGGUGUUUAGCAAAUCUUUUAAUCUCCGUGGGGCUCAGCAUCAAAAACUAUAUAAUGCCAAUUUCAUCACCUUAACUGAAUCUAACAGUCAAAAUUAAAUCUCCACCUACGUCUUGUAAAGAUACAGCAAAGGGUUUACUUAAUUAAAAGUAGAAUUAAAUUAAUCUCUGUAAAUGUAACUUAAGCAUUCUGCUAAAUACAUAAAUUACGUCUCCUCUCAAACCAAUGUCUCAGCCACAAACUAGCAAUUUCUCAAUUAUAUGCCAAAUGGAGAAGCUGCCUCAGUGACAGAAACAUGCUCAUGAAACUUUCAUAUAGGGUUGGAACCGGGUGAUGCAAGCAACAGGGUUAAAAAAAAAAAGAGCAUAGGAGCUCCUAAGUACUUAUUCUCUUGAAAUGAUCACUUGAAAUGCAUAGUAUAAAUAAGCAAAGGUGUGGCUGGGUACGGUGGCUCACGCAUGUAAUCCCAGCACUUUGUGGGGCUGAGGCAGGUGGAUCACUUACAGACCAACCUGGCAAACAUGGCAAAGCCUGUCUCCACAAAAACAUACAAAAAUUAGCCGGGCAUGUUGGCACAUGCUUGUAAUCCCAGCUACUCUGGAGGCUGAGACAAGAAGUGCUUGAAUGCAAGAGGCAGAGGUUGCAGUGAGCCAAGAUCAUGCCAAAGAUGAGACAUACCAAUGCAGUGAACAUAGAACACACUCUACAAAACAUUAACUGUACUAAAGGAUCUAGAACCAACUUCCUUGUAUUGCACUGGAAAAACCUACAACACGCCAUUAUCCUUAACCUGUACUGAUAGGAAAAACCAUGUGAAAUUUACAGUCUAAGAAUUUAUGUUUUGAGUAUUUGUAUCCUGAGUCCUUAGACUGAUAGUAAGGCUGGACUUCAGAGUAAUCACGUUGAGCUUUACUUCAUCAUGCUCAGUAAACACAGCUCAUCACAAAUCCAGCCCAGGUCUUUCCCAAUGUCUUUCCCAUCAACUAGUAAAAAUACGUAAAAAAAUAAAUUCCUGCAGAUAGUGUAUCUCUACCCAUAAGGACAGUCCCUGGCCUGGAAGAAUAAAUGAUAAGAGUUUUAUGUGACAAUGGAUAUAAAACAACAGUAACAACAACAGUGUCAUUCAAAGCACACAGAAUUAAGGGGAAUUAUGAAGAAAAAGACACACACAGCAAUCUACAUGAAGGAAACACACACACACACACACACACACACACACACACAGAGAGAGAGAGAGAGAGAGCAAUCUGCCAGUUGGGUCUCACAGAGCUAAAUACAAUGACUAUUUCCACUAGCAAACUGUCCAAAGAACUGAAACAGAAAUACCCUAAUGCCACCACAGAUACUAUCGACAACUUGCUAUUCUCCCCAAUAAUUAAAUGUAAACCAAUUUUAGGACUAGAGUACACUGAAAACAUGCAUCGAAAAAUUCUAGAGUUAAGUGUAAACAAAUGGUAUAGAAAGAUAGAGGACAGACAAAUAAAAUCAAGGCUGGCACAACGUAAGAAACACAAAGUCCAAAGAAAGGAUUCUGAAGGAGGUCUAAACUACUAACUUCUCUGACAAGAAACCAAAGUAGCACAGUAAUGCAAUCCAGAUUUUCUCAUGAGAACCCACACUAUUAUUCCUGAUACAUAUCUCCGAAACAUGAAAUCAUAGAUUUCAGGAACUGUAUCAUUUCAACUCAAUUUUUGCUACCGAAGAACAAAUGAUGUAACAUAAAAUGAAAAUAUCUAUACAAACAAAACAUCCAAAAGACAGGAAACAGUCCGAACAAUUCAGAUGUACAACCUAACCCUCAAGGUCACUGCAUUCUCAUUAGUUCAACAGAAAAUGAUUCACAUUAACUAAACAUCAAGUUCAAAUGUGAGCCUCCUUCUUGAUUCUUGGGCACGUAGUAGGGACCUCGCUUUUUAAGUUGAAUCGGCUCAGCAAAGCAAAUUAACCCAGCCAAGUUUUUCCUACUAAUCAUUUCUACACUGUACUAGUUCUUUAAACUCAUGGGCAAGCAGGCAUUGUGAAAAAGGAUUCCAGUGACCCACACAGAUGAUACUGAAAGUGGAAGAGCUAGAAAAACUGUUUCUCCAUGUCUGCAACCCCCUUCUUAUUGUACAACCACCUGAUCCCUUUAUCAACAUAUACUUCUACAACAUUCCCCACCUCUUUACUUUAUAUUGGCUUAAUAAAUACAUCCUUUGAACUUUAUAUCUCAUUUUUUUCUUUUUUUUUCCAGACGGAGUCUCACUCUGUCACCCAGGCUGGAGUGCAGUGGCAUGGUCUCGGCUCACUGCAACCUUUGCCGCCCAGGUUCAAGUGAUUCUCCUGCCUCAGCCUCCUGAGUAGCUGGGAUUACAGACACACACCACCAAGCUUGGGUAAUUUUUGUAUCUUUGAGACAGGGUAUUGCUAUGUUGGCCAGGCUAGUCUCAAACUCCUGAUGUCAGGUGAUCCACCCAACUCAGCCUCCCAAAGUGCUGGGAUUACAGGCUUGAGCCACCAUACCUGGUCUCAAAUAUUUCUAUUGAAUUAAAUGUUCCCCAUCUCACCAUGCAAGAGAGGACUUCUCACUCCUGUAAACUCAAAUAGCAGUUGCUGAUUUCUAUUUUUUUUUUUUUUACCUUGAGAUGGGAGUCUCACCUCUGUCACUCAAGCUGGAUGGAGUGCCAUUGGCGCGAUCUCGGCUCACUGCAACCUCCGCCUCCUGGGUUCAAGCAAUUCUCCUGCCUUAGCCUCCCACAUAGUUGGGAUUACAGGUGCCUGCCACCACGCCAGGCUAAUUUUAGUAUUUUUAGUAGAGGUAGGGUUUCGCCAUGUUGGCCAGGCUGGGCUCGAACUCCUGACCUCAGGUGAUCCACCCGCCUCAACCUCCCAAAGUGCCGGGAUUACAGGCGUUUUAACAACAACCAAAUAACCCCAAAACCAUACCCAAAAAUACACUGUAAAUAUCAUCGCAAGGUAGUAAACAAGUGCUGGUAAACACUAAGUAACUCAAAUGACCUCUAUCUGGGAAUGGCUGACUACACGGUAUAAACGUAUGGAGUCAGAUAUCAGAUAGGCCUAGAUUCUGAUGAGAUAUUGUCAUAAGGAAGUAACUAUAAAAUACCUAAAAACUUGUUUUCUAACAUAAAAAAAAUUAGUACCUGGCACAGUGGCUCACACCUACAAUACCAGCUGAGGCAAGAGGAUGGCAUGAGGCCAGGAGUUCAAGACCAGUCUAAGCAACAUAGUGAGAUCCCAACUCUAAAAAAAUUAGAAAACUAAAAUUAGCCAGGCAUGUUGACACGCGACUGUAGUCCCAGCUACUCUGGAGGAUAAGGUGAAAGGAUCGUUUGAGCUCAGGUGUUCAAGGCUGCAGUGAGUUAUGUUAAUGCCACUGAACUCCAGCCUGGACUGUGAGAUACUGUCUCACUAUACAAAAAUUAGCAAUGCUGCCUCAUUCAUUCACUUAAUAUUUCUUAAACAUCUAUUGUGUGAUAGACUCUGUACAAGUUAAUCAACUGCACACAGCUGAAGAAAAAAGAAAAAAAAGCAACUGUCCUAAAAAACCAACAGUAUUCAUUUAAAGGCAGGUACUAUACUCACUGUGUUCCAUAAUAUAUGCUCCAUAAAUAUUAUUCCUCCUCCUUCCUGGACAUCACUUAGAACCCUAGAACUCUGGCAGUUUUUUUUUUUUAUCCGAGAGGUGGUCGUCUCAUUUUUACACAUCCUUGUUUCCAUCUCACCAAAUGCCUCUGCCUUCCGUGAUCCAAGGAUAAGUUUCCUUUUAGCUUUCGACAACGUACAACAUGUAGAAAAAAAAAGGAACUCAGAAUAUCUAUACAAAUAAAAAAGGGUAUCUGAGCAACUAGCAAAGUGCAAUACUACACCUGCCAUUUUUAAGUAUUCAAAGUUUUCAAAACAUUUUCUGCAGAAAAUCUUGAAAUCGAAAAGUCUAGUGAGGCACACUGACUGGAUUUCAGAGUGUCAUUUUUAAGCUCAAAUUUUGAAAUCAUUAUGAUCAGACAAGGUCCUGUGUCAUCAUGAACCUAGCCAAGGCCU
RNAcentral lists this long non-coding RNA (13673 nucleotides) under Pan troglodytes (chimpanzee). RNAcentral describes it as "long non-coding RNA NONPTRT005551". The record is from RNAcentral. Lineage: Eukaryota; Metazoa; Chordata; Mammalia; Primates; Hominidae.